UCUAGAACUAAUCUAAAGUGAAACCUGCCCAGUGAUUUUCAAAUAAAAAGGGAUAAAAAUCCUUAAAGAAAAUUAAAAGGACGCAGUAAACUGACUGUGAUAAAGUAGCAUAAUCAUUCGCCAUUUAAUUGAUGGAUAGUAUGAAGGGUUAAACGAAUUCCUCAUUGUCUCGGAAAAAGAAUUUAUGAAAAUAAAAUAAUAGUUAAGAUGCUAUUUAAAAUUGUAAGACGAAAAGACCCUAUAGAGCUUAACUAUAACCUUUCUAUAAAAAGAAAGAAUGGUAGUUUAGUUGGGGCGACUGUCUUUUAAAAAAAACAAAGACGAGCAAAAAAUAAAAUAUAUUAUUGUAUAACCAAUAAGUUUAACAAUUACCAAAGUAGGCUAUAAUGACCCGUUAUAAGUUAGUGAAAAAUAUAACGAUUAACAAAUAAAAGCUACCUUAGGGAUAACAGAAUAAUUUUGUUAUAGAGACCUUAUCGAAAACAAAGUUUGUCACCUCUAUGUUGAAUUAAGAUAACCCAAUAAAGCAGAAUUUAUUAAAGGUAGGUCUGUUCGACCUUUAAAAU
Molecule: ribosomal RNA, 566 nt
Filed under: Stylaster sp. D AL-2008
Lineage: Eukaryota; Metazoa; Cnidaria; Hydrozoa; Anthoathecata; Stylasteridae
Description: partial 16S large subunit ribosomal RNA
Rfam family: Bacterial large subunit ribosomal RNA
Source: RNAcentral